CCUACGGGAGGCAGCAGUGGGGAAUUUUGCGCAAUGGGCGGAAGCCUGACGCAGCAACGCCGCGUGCGGGAUGAAGGCCUUAGGGUUGUAAACCGCUUUCAGUGGGAACGAUUGUGACGGUACCUGCAGAAGAAGGUGCGGCCAACUACGUGCCAGCAGCCGCGGUGACACGUAGGCACCGAGCGUUGUCCGGAUUUAUUGGGCGUAAAGAGCUCGUAGGCGGUUGAGUAAGUCGGGUGUGAAAACUGUGGGCUUAACCCGGAGAGGCCACUCGAUACUGCUUUGACUUGAGUUCGGUAGGGGAGCAGGGAAUUCCUAGUGUAGCGGUGAAAUGCGCAGAUAUUAGGAGGAACACCGGUGGCGAAGGCGCUGCUCUGGGCCGAUACUGACGCUGAGGAGCGAAAGCGUGGGUAGCAAACAGGAUUAGAUACCCUAGUAGU
RNAcentral lists this ribosomal RNA (440 nucleotides) under uncultured bacterium. Its description in RNAcentral is "bacterial SSU rRNA". It matches the Rfam family "Bacterial small subunit ribosomal RNA", at positions 338 to 794 of the family's 1533-position model. The record is from RNAcentral.